Molecule: long non-coding RNA, 177 nt
Organism: Carassius auratus (goldfish)
Lineage: Eukaryota; Metazoa; Chordata; Actinopteri; Cypriniformes; Cyprinidae
Exons: 3
Source: RefSeq, a predicted model, not a curated record
CUGAUGAAGGAAUGCUGGCCUCAAAGAUUCUCAAUCUUUUGUGGUGGACAGGUGACAGCAGCAUCUGUGGAAAAAACCUGAAAGAAAAAUCCAAAAGGAUCUGAAAUGUCUGCAGACUGCUGUGUGCACUGAGGAUGGAGAAGAUGGAGUGCCAUGGGUGAAAUGCUCCAUCACUGC